CACGAAAUUAGAUGAGCUAAUUUUGCAAGCUUUAUAGAGUUUUUGUGUGUAGUAUAACAUGAAUAAAUGCAAAGUUAGGGGUGAUAGGCCAACAAGUCUAAAGAUAUCUUGAUACCUUUGAAAUGCAUCAAGUGCAAUGACGACUUAGCAGUGAUAAGGCUGCUAAGUAUAAUUAAAUAUUAUAACUAAUGUUCCCUCGAUUUAAUCGUUUGGGUGGUGUUAAGUAAUAAUUAGGUUAUUUUAUUUGUUUUAAAUAGAAGGUAAUAGUUAAUUAUAUAGUUUAUUUAUAAUGUUAAUAUCAGUAAAGUAUUAGGUAUUAUUUAUGAACUCGGCAACACUUCCUUCAGCUGUUUACCAAAAACAUCGCCAGUAGCCAGUAUUAUUGGUCUUUUCUGCUCAAUGAGCAUUAAAUAGCCGCAGUACCCUGACUGUGCAAAGGUAGCGUAAUCAUUUGACUUAUAAUUAAAGUCCUGUAUGAAUGAAAUUAUGGGGGAAGGCUGUAUUAAUAUUAAAAUUCGAAUUUAUUAAAUAAGUGUAAAUACUUAUUAAGGCAUAAUAGACGAGAAGACCCUAGAAAUUUUAAAAGUUGUUGGCAAGUUUUUUUGUUGGGGCAACAGUGUAACAAAUAACUUACAUAAUAAACAUGAAACAUUAUAGAUAGAUAAAAUUACUCUAGGGAUAACAGCGUAAUAUAUAAAUGUUUGCGACCUCGAUGUUGGACUAGAGAACAACUGCCUAGAA
Molecule: ribosomal RNA, 741 nt
Filed under: Globorhagada sp. PAR
Lineage: Eukaryota; Metazoa; Mollusca; Gastropoda; Stylommatophora; Camaenidae
Description: partial 16S ribosomal RNA
Source: RNAcentral